Molecule: ribosomal RNA, 568 nt
Filed under: uncultured Bifidobacterium sp.
Lineage: Bacteria; Bacillati; Actinomycetota; Actinomycetes; Bifidobacteriales; Bifidobacteriaceae
Description: partial 16S rRNA
Source: RNAcentral
CACUAGUGAUUGGUGUUCUUCCCGAUAUCUACACAUUCCACCGUUACACCGGGAAUUCCAGUCUCCCCUACCGCACUCAAGCCCGCCCGUACCCGGCGCGGAUCCACCGUUAAGCGAUGGACUUUCACACCGGACGCGACGAACCGCCUACGAGCCCUUUACGCCCAAUAAUUCCGGAUAACGCUUGCACCCUACGUAUUACCGCGGCUGCUGGCACGUAGUUAGCCGGUGCUUAUUCGAAAGGUACACUCACCCGAAGGCUUGCUCCCGAUCAAAAGCGGUUUACAACCCGAAGGCCGUCAUCCCGCACGCGGCGUCGCUGCAUCAGGCUUGCGCCCAUUGUGCAAUAUUCCCCACUGCUGCCUCCCGUAGGAGUCUGGGCCGUAUCUCAGUCCCAAUGUGGCCGGUCGCCCUCUCAGGCCGGCUACCCGUCGUAGGCUCGGUGGGCCGUUACCCCGCCGACUACCUGAUAGGACGCGACCCCAUCCCAUACCGAUGAAAUCUUUCCCAGAAGGACAUGCAUCCAACUGGAGCAUCCGGCAUUACACCCGUUUCAGGAGAAUCGAAU